Cordylochernes scorpioides is the source of this 100-nucleotide non-coding RNA. The record is from the annotation of a GenBank genome assembly. Lineage: Eukaryota; Metazoa; Arthropoda; Arachnida; Pseudoscorpiones; Chernetidae.
CCAGGUAUCCUAGCCACUAGACCACAUGGAAGAAAAGAUGGAGAUGCUGGGUAUCUCCAUCCAUCUGUUCUCCCACGUGGUCUAGUGGUUAGGAUACUGG